UACGUAGGGUCCAAGCGUUGUCCGGAAUUAUUGGGCGUAAAGAGCUCGUAGGCGGUGUGUCACGUCGGCCGUGAAAACCUGCAGCUUAACUGUGGGCGUGCGGUCGAUACGGGCAUCACUGGAGUUCGGCAGGGGAGACUGGAAUUCCUGGUGUAGCGGUGAAAUGCGCAGAUAUCAGGAGGAACACCGGUGGCGAAGGCGGGUCUCUGGGCCGAUACUGACGCUGAGGAGCGAAAGCGUGGGGAGCAAACAGG
This 254-nucleotide ribosomal RNA is filed under the name uncultured bacterium. RNAcentral's name for it is "partial 16S ribosomal RNA". It matches the Rfam family "Bacterial small subunit ribosomal RNA", at positions 524 to 776 of the family's 1533-position model. The record is from RNAcentral.